AUCGUGGAAUUAUAUAACUUGACGAUCGACGUCCCCUCGAUAAGAAGCGCCGGUAUAAACUGCACCGAUUAAUCUUCGAUCGCACAUAUUUCAAUCGACGUGCACUUAUUUCGAACAAUUUUUGGGUAUACGAGUGUAUACGAUAGUCGAAUCGGGUAAUUAAUUAUUAUAUUCAAAUAACGGACGGAGAACUUUUUAAAAUUUGUUCGGAGCUACGUCAGUUGCACGAUCUUCGUAUUGUCCAUCGAACCGGAGCUGACUGACGGCCAACAAAGUCUUGAGCCGAUGCACCGAGGAAAAUGCAACUUAUUGAUACACUCCUCCUAUCACUAUCGAGCGAGUUCCGAUUACCGAUAACACGUGAUAAUCCGUCGUUAAGAAAUUUUUUUCUCUUCCAUGCACCUGCGGAAGUGCACUCGACAACUCUAUACCAAGAUGCGAGGAAAUACAGAAAAAGAACAAAAAAAAAAAACUAGGAGCUUUCUAAUUAGGAAUCUGUGAGAUCUUACCAGGCGAACGUAGAAAACGUGGCACCCUCAGCGAAAUUCUCGGGAUCCUGCGGUUACCGUCAUGGGGUUGUUUUUCCUACCACGGAUUCACGGAUUUCAAUCGAGACCUGUAAUCAGGUUGAAAUUAAUUGAAUGCUCCAGAAUCUGAAUGGAUAGCUGGAUACUGAAAAAC
Molecule: unclassified non-coding RNA, 681 nt
Filed under: Athalia rosae (coleseed sawfly)
Lineage: Eukaryota; Metazoa; Arthropoda; Insecta; Hymenoptera; Athaliidae
Description: misc RNA ENSAEAG00005001793.1
Source: RNAcentral